RNAcentral lists this ribosomal RNA (789 nucleotides) under uncultured bacterium. Its description in RNAcentral is "bacterial SSU rRNA". It matches the Rfam family "Bacterial small subunit ribosomal RNA", at positions 8 to 798 of the family's 1533-position model. The record is from RNAcentral.
AGAGUUUGAUCAUGGCUCAGGACGAACGCUGGCGGCGUGCUUAACACAUGCAAGUCGAACGGAAAGGCCCCUUCGGGGGUACUCGAGUGGCGAACGGGUGAGUAACACGUGGGUGAUCUGCCCUGCACUUUGGGAUAAGCCUGGGAAACUGGGUCUAAUACCGAAUAGGACCGCAUGCUUCAUGGUGUGUGGUGGAAAGCUUUUGCGGUGUGGGAUGGGCCCGCGGCCUAUCAGCUUGUUGGUGGGGUAAUGGCCUACCAAGGCGACGACGGGUAGCCGGCCUGAGAGGGUGUCCGGCCACACUGGGACUGAGAUACGGCCCAGACUCCUACGGGAGGCAGCAGUGGGGAAUAUUGCACAAUGGGCGCAAGCCUGAUGCAGCGACGCCGCGUGGGGGAUGACGGCCUUCGGGUUGUAAACCUCUUUCAGUAUCGGCGAAGCUCCAGGAUUUUUCUUGGGGUGACGGUAGGUACAGAAGAAGCACCGGCCAACUACGUGCCAGCAGCCGCGGUAAUACGUAGGGUGCGAGCGUUGUUCGGAAUUACUGGGCGUAAAGAGCUCGUAGGUGGUUUGUCACGUUGUCCGUGAAAACUCACAGCUUAACUGUGGGCGUGCGGGCGAUACGGGCAGACUGGAGUACUGUAGGGGAGACUGGAAUUCCUGGUGUAGCGGUGGAAUGCGCAGAUAUCAGGAGGAACACCGGUGGCGAAGGCGGGUCUCUGGGCAGUAACUGACGCUGAGGAGCGAAAGCGUGGGGAGCGAACAGGAUUAGAUACCCCGGUAGUCCAA